Molecule: ribosomal RNA, 527 nt
Filed under: uncultured bacterium
Lineage: Bacteria
Description: bacterial SSU rRNA
Rfam family: Bacterial small subunit ribosomal RNA
Source: RNAcentral
CCUACGGGAGGCAGCAGUGGGGAAUUUUGGACAAUGGGCGCAAGCCUGAUCCAGCCAUGCCGCGUGCAGGAUGAAGGCCUUCGGGUUGUAAACUGCUUUUGUACGGAACGAAAAGACUCCUUCUAAUAAAGGGGGUCCAUGACGGUACCGUAAGAAUAAGCACCGGCUAACUACGUGCCAGCAGCCGCGGUAAUACGUAGGGUGCGAGCGUUAAUCGGAAUUACUGGGCGUAAAGCGUGCGCAGGCGGUUAUAUAAGACAGAUGUGAAAUCCCCGGGCUCAACCUGGGAACUGCAUUUGUGACUGUAUAGCUAGAGUACGGUAGAGGGGGAUGGAAUUCCGCGUGUAGCAGUGAAAUGCGUAGAUAUGCGGAGGAACACCGAUGGCGAAGGCAAUCCCCUGGACCUGUACUGACGCUCAUGCACGAAAGCGUGGGGAGCAAACAGGAUUAGAUACCCUGGUAGUCCACGCCCUAAACGAUGUCAACUGGUUGUUGGGUCUUCACUGACUCAGUAACGAAGCUAACGC